Molecule: long non-coding RNA, 437 nt
Filed under: Monodelphis domestica (gray short-tailed opossum)
Lineage: Eukaryota; Metazoa; Chordata; Mammalia; Didelphimorphia; Didelphidae
Description: lncRNA (ENSMODG00000031300.2)
Source: RNAcentral
CCCUAUCCCUGAUAUUAAAGAGAAAGAAGCAAGAAGCAAAUAUGAGGAAUGAGAAACCAAUAGAGAAGAGAUCCCAUUGCAAAAUCUUUCUCCUUCAUCACCACCCUUCCACAAACCCUUUCUGACUAUCUGUAGUCAGCCAAAGGAUGAAGAAAGUCAGUCUCCUAAAGGAGGUUGGAGCACAGAAGAGUUGAAUUGGAAAAGGUUGUCCUCACUUCUUAGAGAGGUUGUGUACGCCAGAGACAAUAUGGGAUGACCAAGUUAACAUAUGCAGCCCUGAGAACCUGAAACAUUACUAGCACAAGAGCUACUGGAAUGGUGGAUGCAGCAGGAUUAAGGGCAGGUCCUAGAAUUAGCUUGAACCUGCAUACUUUUUUCUCCUGUCUCUUAUAGGACUAUUGAAUAAAUAAAAACCAUAGUAAUUACUAAUAUUUAUA